AGGAUGAACGCUGGCGGCGUGCCUAACACAUGCAAGUCGAACGCUCUCCAUUCGGUAGCAAUACUGAUGAAGAGGGAGUGGCGAACGGGUGAGUACCACGUGAGCAACCUGCCCCGAAGACUGGGACAACACCGGGAAACCGGUGCUAAUACCGGAUAUCCCUAUCGGAUCGCAUGAUCUGAUAAGGAAAUGGAUUCCGCUUCGGGAGGGGCUCGCGGCCUAUCAGCUAGUUGGUGAGGUAAUAGCUCGCCAAGGCAUCGACGGGUAGCUGGUCUGAGAGGACGAUCAGCCACACUGGGACUGAGACACGGCCCAGACUCCUACGGGAGGCAGCAGUGGGGAAUCUUGCGCAAUGGGCGAAAGCCUGACGCAGCAACGCCGCGUGGAGGACGAAUGCUUUCUGAGUUGUAAACUCCUUUCAGCAGGGACGAUUGUGACGGUACCUGCAGAAGAGCACCGGCCAACUACGCG
RNAcentral lists this ribosomal RNA (471 nucleotides) under uncultured bacterium. Its description in RNAcentral is "SSU rRNA". It matches the Rfam family "Bacterial small subunit ribosomal RNA", at positions 26 to 507 of the family's 1533-position model. The record is from RNAcentral.